Molecule: unclassified non-coding RNA, 36 nt
Filed under: Neisseria meningitidis
Lineage: Bacteria; Pseudomonadati; Pseudomonadota; Betaproteobacteria; Neisseriales; Neisseriaceae
Description: RNA (36-MER) from Neisseria meningitidis (PDB 2N6S, chain A)
Source: RNAcentral
GGAAUUUAUGAGUACCUUCGGAUACUUAUAGAUUCC